RNAcentral lists this ribosomal RNA (516 nucleotides) under uncultured Alteromonadales bacterium. Its description in RNAcentral is "bacterial SSU rRNA". It matches the Rfam family "Bacterial small subunit ribosomal RNA", at positions 355 to 863 of the family's 1533-position model. The record is from RNAcentral. Lineage: Bacteria; Pseudomonadati; Pseudomonadota; Gammaproteobacteria; Alteromonadales.
UGGGGAAUAUUGCACAAUGGGCGAAAGCCUGAUGCAGCCAUACCGCGUGUAUGAAGAAGGCCUUAGGGUUGUAAAGUACUUUCAGCGAGGAGGAAAGGUGAUAAAUUAAUACUUUAUCACUGUGACGUUACUCGCAGAAGAAGCACCGGCUAACUCCGUGCCAGCAGCCGCGGUAAUACGGAGGGUGCAAGCGUUAAUCGGAAUUACUGGGCGUAAAGCGCAUGCAGGCGGUUUGUUAAGCGAGAUGUGAAAGCCCCGGGCUCAACCUGGGAACUGCAUUUCGAACUGGCAAACUAGAGUUCUUGAGAGGGUGGUAGAAUUUCAGGUGUAGCGGUGAAAUGCGUAGAGAUCUGAAGGAAUACCAGUGGCGAAGGCGGCCACCUGGCAAGUAACUGACGCUCAGAUGCGAAAGCGUGGGUAGCAAACGGGAUUAGAUACCCCGGUAGUCCACGCCGUAAACGAUGUCUACUCGGAGUUUGGUUCCUUGAGAACUGGGCUCUUAAGCUAACGCAUUAA